GCCUGCGCCCUACUACCCUGAACAUGCUUGAUCUCCACUGAUCUCAGGAGCUAAGCAGGGUUGGGCCUGGUUCGUACUUGGAUGGGGGAAAUAAAGACUAGAAGGUA
Panthera pardus (leopard) is the source of this 107-nucleotide ribosomal RNA. The record is from Ensembl. NCBI's taxonomy places the organism in Eukaryota, Metazoa, Chordata, Mammalia, Carnivora, Felidae.